GAAGACCGGGGCGAGUACACACACACAUGCACCCACCCCCCCCUCGACUGGAAGGAAAAGCCGGUGUGUGGACUGACUGGCCCUGCGCAAGGCGAUCAAGAGUUGAAGCCACUCUGUCCUUCUGACGGUCAACAUGGUCCUUCGCUUUUCU
Xenopus laevis (African clawed frog) is the source of this 151-nucleotide long non-coding RNA. RefSeq lists it as uncharacterized. Lineage: Eukaryota; Metazoa; Chordata; Amphibia; Anura; Pipidae. The record is from RefSeq and is a predicted model, not a curated record. The transcript has 2 exons.